GAAAUGUCCCUGAGAGCAGCUGGGGCUGAGCAGGGGGAGGCUGAGGCGUCUUCCCCUGCAGCCAUCACAGGGCAGACCCCUGGAGGAGCAGGGGGACAUUUCCUGAGGGAACGCGGCCGGUGAGAGGAGCCCAUGUGGAGCAGGUCUCCUGAGGGAACUGCACCCGGGGAGAGCCCACGCUGGAGACGCUGUGUGAGGGGGAAGGAGCAGCAGAGAGGGCCUGUCAUGGACCGACCACAGCCCCGCUCAGGGGGCAGGAAGACGUAGAGAAGUUGGGAAUAAAGGAAUGAAGCUGAGCUUGCAAAAAGGAAAAAAAAAAUAGGUUUCUGAUUUCUGAACAUGGACCCAGUCAAGGCUACAAGAGUACAGAGCAAGAAUCAGCAGUGACACAGUCUAGGCCUCCCUUGAUGUACCUUCCCUCCAACAGCCUUCAAAAUAUCACAGAAGCUGAUGGACGUGACAGCUGAGAUGACUCAGGUCAACUGAGGAAGUGUUCC
Lepidothrix coronata (blue-crowned manakin) is the source of this 497-nucleotide long non-coding RNA. RefSeq lists it as uncharacterized. The transcript is spliced from 3 exons. The record is from RefSeq and is a predicted model, not a curated record. NCBI's taxonomy places the organism in Eukaryota, Metazoa, Chordata, Aves, Passeriformes, Pipridae.